RNAcentral lists this ribosomal RNA (494 nucleotides) under uncultured bacterium. RNAcentral's name for it is "bacterial SSU rRNA". It matches the Rfam family "Bacterial small subunit ribosomal RNA", at positions 791 to 1289 of the family's 1533-position model. The record is from RNAcentral.
UAGUCCACGCCGUAAACGAUGGUCACUAGCUGUUCGAACUUCGGUUUGAGCGGCCAAGCGAAAGUGAUAAGUGACCCACCUGGGGAGUACGUUCGCAAGAAUGGAACUCAAAGGAAUUGACGGGGCCCGCACAAGCGGUGGAGCAUGUGGUUUAAUUCGAUGAUACGCGAGGAACCUUACCAGGGCUUAAAUGUAAGUUGCAUUGUUUAGAGAUAGACAUUUCUUCGGGCUACUUACAAGGUGCUGCAUGGUUGUCGUCAGCUCGUGCCGUGAGGUGUCAGGUUAAGUCCUAUAACGAGCGCAACCCCUGUUGUUAGUUGCCAGCAUGUAAAGAUGGGAACUCUAACAAGACUGCCGGUGCAAACCGUGAGGAAGGUGGGGAUGACGUCAAAUCAUCACGGGCCCUUACGUCCUGGGGCUACACACGUGCUACAAUGGUAGGUACAGAGGGGCAGCCACUGCGUGAGCAGGAGCGAAUCCUUAAAGCCUAUCUC